RNAcentral lists this ribosomal RNA (497 nucleotides) under uncultured bacterium. RNAcentral describes it as "partial 16S ribosomal RNA". It matches the Rfam family "Bacterial small subunit ribosomal RNA", at positions 28 to 507 of the family's 1533-position model. The record is from RNAcentral.
GAUGAACGCUGGCGGCGUGCCUAAUACAUGCAAGUCGAGCGAACAGGCGAGGAGCUUACUCCUCUGACGUUAGCGGCGGACGGGUGAGUAACACGUGGAUAACCUACCUAUAAGACUGGGAUAACUUCGGGAAACCGGAGCUAAUACCGGAUAACAUGUUGAACCGCAUGGUUCAACAGUGAAAGACGGUCUUGCUGUCACUUAUAGAUGGAUCCGCGUCGCAUUAGCUAGUUGGUAAGGUAACGGCUUACCAAGGCAACGAUGCGUAGCCGACCUGAGAGGGGGGUCGGCCGCACUGGAACUGGGACACGGUCCAGACGCCUACGGGAGGCAGCAGUAGGGAAUCUUCCGCAAUGGGCGAAAGCCUGACGGAGCAACGCCGCGUGAGUGAAGAAGGUCUUCGGAUCGUAAAACUCUGUUAUUAGGGAAGAACAAAUGUGUGAGUAGCUAUGCACGUCUUGACGGUACCUAAUCAGAAAGCCACGGCUAACUACGUG